GACGGAGGAUGCAAGUGUUAUCCGGAAUCACUGGGCGUAAAGCGUCUGUAGGUGGUCAAUAAGUCAACUGUUAAAUCUUGAGGCUCAACCUCAAAAUCGCAGUCGAAACUAUUAGACUAGAGUAUAGUAGGGUAAAGGGAAUUCCAGUUGAGCGGUGAAAUGCGUAGAGAUUGGAAAGAACACCGAUGGCGAAGGCACUUUACUGGGCUAUUACUAACACUCAGAGACGAAAGCUAGGGUAGCAAUGGG
RNAcentral lists this ribosomal RNA (249 nucleotides) under uncultured bacterium. RNAcentral describes it as "partial 16S ribosomal RNA". It matches the Rfam family "Bacterial small subunit ribosomal RNA", at positions 524 to 775 of the family's 1533-position model. The record is from RNAcentral.